GUGGGGAAUUUUGGACAAUGGGCGCAAGCCUGAUCCAGCCAUGCCGCGUGAGUGAAGAAGGCCUUCGGGUUGUAAAGCUCUUUCGGCGGGGAAGAAAUUGCACGGGUUAAUACCCUGUGUAGAUGACGGUACCCGAAUAAGAAGCACCGGCUAACUACGUGCCAGCAGCCGCGGUAAUACGUAGGGUGCGAGCGUUAAUCGGAAUUACUGGGCGUAAAGCGUGCGCAGGCGGUUUGGUAAGUCAGAUGUGAAAUCCCCGGGCUCAACCUGGGAACUGCAUUUGAGACUGCCAGGCUGGAGUUUGGCAGAGGGGGGUGGAAUUCCACGUGUAGCAGUGAAAUGCGUAGAGAUGUGGAGGAACACCGAUGGCGAAGGCAGCCCCCUGGGCCAAUACUGACGCUCAUGCACGAAAGCGUGGGGAGCAAACAGGAUUAGAAACCCGAGUAGUCC
This 450-nucleotide ribosomal RNA is filed under the name uncultured bacterium. Its description in RNAcentral is "bacterial SSU rRNA". It matches the Rfam family "Bacterial small subunit ribosomal RNA", at positions 354 to 796 of the family's 1533-position model. The record is from RNAcentral.